AUCACAAUGGAAGAAUUAGAAUUCUCACCUCAAGGUCACAUCUCCGCAUAUGGGCCGGUCGAUUACAAACUUCCGGGAGUUAGGAACAUACCCCGUCGGAUGAAGGUUUCCAUACUCAAGGAGUGUUCAAACAAGGGCACUGUUUAUUCCUCCAAGGGUGUGGGCGAACCUCCACAUCUGCUGGCAAUAUCAGUUUAUUUGGCACUGAGAAAAGCAAUCCAAGCGUGUCGGAUGGAUGCAGGACUAUCCAGCAGCUUUGACCUGGACAUUCCAUUAGCCGCUGAGAGCAUCCGAAUGGCCUGUCCGAUUGGAAUUCCUACAUUACAAAUCCAGCAUAAUGGAGCUAUAUAGUCUUUGCGAGAAAAGUUGGACACACUUGUAUUAUGAUAUUAUACCCCAAUUCAUUCAGGUUAAAUAUAAAGUCAUUAUAUUGUCAGACUCUUGUUAAAGGAUUCUUCGCGAAAUGCACCUUAAUAUAAAUAUCUACAGUAUAUAUAUUUGUAACAAUAUAAUACAUACUCGCACUAUAAUACACCGGUGUACAAUGUAUAUUAUGAUGCCAGAACAUUCUGGUAUGUUUCAAAAAACAAUUGUGUUUAAUGAGGCUAUCUUAUGCGACUCGCACUAUUGAUUAAACUAGCUUGUGAUGACGCUUAUGUUUCGAAUUAGAUUCAAAUUGUUCAAGAAUACUUGUCAAAUUAAACUUUAAAUUUACGCCUUGUUACCUAUUUAGUAAAAUGAAGUUUCCAAUGUCUAAUGGCUAAUGUCCUAGAGUUGUAUUCUGCCCUAGAGAUGUAUAAUGUCCCAGAGUUACCUAAUGCCCCAAAGUUGUCUAAUGUCCCAGAAAUGUCCCAUGGCUCAGAUUUGUCAAAUACCCCAGAGUUUCCUAUUUAUCCUAGAGUUAUCUAAUAUCCAAGUGAUAGCUAAUGUCCCAGUGUUGUCUUAUGCCCUAGAGUUGUCUAAUGCCCUAGAUUUGUUGUCUAAUGCCCCAGAUUUGUCUAAUGACCACGAGUAGUAAUAUAUUCCUACUCUUUACAAACAAUCCAAAAAUAACAUUACCACGAAUGUUCGAGUUACAUAUCCCAGCGAUUGUAUCACAUAAUAGGAACGUUUUAUAAACUGUCUGUUACCACGUCAAUAAUUAGAUCUAACAUGUGAACACGUAGAUAUAGUUCUAAAUCUAGUUUUAAGAAUAGGUCUGUUCAACACAUUCCAACACACUUCUUAGCAUAUCGGGUAUUUUUAUAUUAACUUGUCCUUAUUGAUUUUCGAGAAUUUGCUGUAAAUUAGAUAAAUGAGAAGUGUCAUUUUAAUUGUGGCGGUGAACGAUUCUAUUUAUCGCCAAAGGAUUGAGGUCGUUCAACUAGCUCACCUGCGCAUGUAACAUCAUUCAAUAGAAAUAAAAUCAUCUCACCCAGUAACGCUAACUGCUCGCGCCCUUACUUGUCUUACCUGUGGGACUCGGUCUUUACAACAACGAUGGCAGCUGGCAGUUAGUAGAUAAGUCCAGUUCAAUGCAUUUCGUUUUUUGAUACCUUUGGCCUAACGACAAUUUAGUUAACUACAAACAUGAUAAAAACAUACAACAUUGCGUAUGAAGUAUACACAGGAUCAGAUACGUAUAUUUAGCAUUGUUCAAUAUUUUAGCAUUUAAGUCUUUAUUAUCGUUAUCAUCAUCACCAUCAGCACCCUUAUUCAGUAUACGGACGUUAUGUUUAUUUUAUGUAGUAAUAAUAUCUGACGGUCAUAUCGUUGAUUAAUAUUCACUAAAAUGACACGUUACAGAAAAAAUAUUAAUGAAUGGAAAUUAAAUAUUUUUUUUAUUUUGACACCCUGGAUUAACUGUAAACGCUACUGUCGUAAAUAGGCUGUUUAUCUGUUUUUAUUUGAGAAAAAAGAUUUCCAGAUCUAUAUUCAUAUAACUGUUCCCUUGAAAUUUAUCUUAAAGCGUCAAAAAAGGCUUCAGUCUGCUCCCUGAAACAUAAUGUCGAAUAUUCGAAACAUAAUCAUACGUCUCAUGAAGAAUAAACCGUAGACGUGAUGCUUCCAAGUUCAUUAAAUUUGUCUAAAAAAGCAAUUCAAUUUAUCAACCAAAGAAAUCGACCAAAGCAACAUUCUAUCCUUAAAUAAAAGGAAUUCAAUUAUCUAACGGCAUAUAUAAUAAACUAUUUACAAGUCUUGUUAAUGGUGAACAAGUCAUAGAUCUAUCACUCUGUUGUGAUAUCUUAUUUACUCCAAAAUGAAAUCGUAACGCUCAUUAUCUAGUGCAUGUGAACUGGUCAUUUCUUAAUAUUUGUCUUCCCGACUACUUAUAAAACAAUCAUACAUAAAACACAUUUUUAUUCUAUGUUUGUGUACCCUAUAUAUUGAUGUUUAAGGGCCAUCGAAAUAACAAAUCCGGUGAUCUUACAUUCGUACACAUAACAAAUGUGUAUUGUAUGUGCUCCUUAUAUAAUCUAAAAUAUAGGUCGUCACUAUAAUGAUAUUCAAAGAUUAUCAAAAUAUCAUAUCCAGUGAUAUUGAUAUUUAUGAUAUUCAUCAAGCCUUGAAAUCCCUACUAUAUAACAACUGAACAGAUCAAUUUCAGUAUUUAUCAUGGCUGACUAUUAUAUAACAACUAAACAGAUCAAUUUCAGUAUUUAUCAUGACUGACUAUUAUAUAACAACUAAACAGAUCAAUUUCAGUAUUUAUCAUGGCUGACUACUUUAUAGCAAGUGAACAGAUCAAUUUCAGUAUUUAUCAUGGCUGACUACUUUAUAGCAAGUGAACAGAUCAAUUUCAGUAUUUAUCAUGGCUGACUACUUUAUAGCAACUGAACAUAUCAAUUUUAGUAUUUAUCAUGGCUGACUAUGAGUCUUGUUGUUGACAUGUUUUUGUUAAGUUGUUUGUAAAUUUCAACAAAACAUUUGAAACUUGUAUGUUUCAGCGGGACAUAAUCAACUCAUUUGAUCAAAUUUGUUGCAAACCGGCAUGCCGUUUGCUCACAAAAAUAUGUAUAUUAGACUGCAAAAGAUGACAUACAGAACAACUGAUCGUCGAUAUAAAUCAAUGUCUAAAUUUCGACCAAACAUAAGCCUCCUUGUGGCUACUAUGUCAACAAAACAUAAGAAGAAAAAAAGGAGAUUAAACAAAUAAGUUCUCCAUUUCGUUUGGGGAACUCCAUUGUCCUGAGAUCUCAAAAUACUUUAUCUCGCUGCAACAUAAAUACAACAGAGAAUAUUAAAAAAUGUCAUAGCAUUGUAGUUGUAAUGAAAUUAUUAUCAUUUAAGACAUGAAGCUUAAUGUGUUAAAUAUACGUUACAUUUUACGACAGGGUCAUUGACACAAAUGUACAUUCAAUGUAUAAUGAAAUGAUAUACGUACUAUAUAUGUGUACUACCGACUCGUGCAUACUAUUUCUGUUUCUCUAUACAUGGUUUUGUGAAAACAAUAAAUUGAAUUAUAUUUAA
Molecule: long non-coding RNA, 3450 nt
Organism: Pecten maximus
Lineage: Eukaryota; Metazoa; Mollusca; Bivalvia; Pectinida; Pectinidae
Exons: 2
Source: RefSeq, a predicted model, not a curated record